GUAACAAGGUCUCCGUUGGUGAACCAGCGGAGGGAUCAUUGCUGGAACGCGCCCCCGGCGCACCCAGAAACCCUUUGUGAACUUAUACCUACUGUUGCCUCGGCGCAGGCCGGCCUUUGUCAAAAAAGGCCCCCUGGAGACAGGGAGCAGCCCGCCGGCGGCCAACCAAACUCUUGUUUCUAUAGUGAAUCUCUGAGUAAAAACAUAAAUGAAUCAAAACUUUCAACAACGGAUCUCUUGGUUCUGGCAUCGAUGAAGAACGCAGCGAAAUGCGAUAAGUAAUGUGAAUUGCAGAAUUCAGUGAAUCAUCGAAUCUUUGAACGCACAUUGCGCCCUCUGGUAUUCCGGAGGGCAUGCCUGUUCGAGCGUCAUUUCAACCCUCAAGCCUGGCUUGGUGAUGGGGCACUGCCUGUAAAAGGGCAGGCCCUGAAAUCUAGUGGCGAGCUCGCCAGGACCCCGAGCGUAGUAGUUAUAUCUCGCUCUGGAAGGCCCUGGCGGUGCCCUGCCGUUAAACCCCCAACUUCUGAAAAUUUGACCUCGGAUCAGGUUGGGAUACCCGCUGAACUUAAGCAUAUCUUU
RNAcentral lists this ribosomal RNA (579 nucleotides) under Diaporthe sp. 2 B137. RNAcentral describes it as "eukaryotic LSU rRNA". The stretch from base 218 to 371 matches the Rfam family "5.8S ribosomal RNA". Lineage: Eukaryota; Fungi; Ascomycota; Sordariomycetes; Diaporthales; Diaporthaceae. The record is from RNAcentral.